AUGAACGCUGGCGGCGUGCCUAAUACAUGCCAGUCGAGCGCACAGACGAGGAGCUUGCUCCUCUGACGUUAGCGGCGGACGGGUGAGUAACACGUGGAUAACCUACCUAUAAGACUGGGAUAACUUCGGGAAACCGGAGCUAAUACCGGAUAAUAUAUUUAACCGCAUGGUUCAAUAGUGAAAGACGGUUUUGCUGUCACUUAUAGAUGGAUCCGCGCCGCAUUAGCUAGUUGGUAAGGUAACGGCUUACCAAGGCAACGAUGCGUAGCCGACCUGAGAGGGUGAUCGGCCACACUGGAACUGAGACACGGUCCAGACUCCUACGGGAGGCAGCAGUAGGGAAUCUUCCGCAAUGGGCGAAAGCCUGACGGAGCAACGCCGCGUGAGUGAUGAAGGUCUUCGGAUCGUAAAACUCUGUUAUUAGGGAAGAACAAAUGUGUAAGUAACUAUGCACGUCUUGACGGUACCUAAUCAGAAAGCCACGGCUAACUACGUG
Molecule: ribosomal RNA, 496 nt
Filed under: uncultured bacterium
Lineage: Bacteria
Description: partial 16S ribosomal RNA
Rfam family: Bacterial small subunit ribosomal RNA
Source: RNAcentral